CAGUAGCCGCGGGAAUACGAAGGGUGCAAGCGUUAAUCGGAAUUACUGGGCGUAAAGCGUGCGUAGGCGGUUUGUUAAGUCCGUUGUGAAAGCCCUGGGCUCAACCUGGGAAUUGCAGUGGAUACUGGGUCACUAGAGUGUGGUAGAGGAUAGUGGAAUUUCCGGUGUAGCAGUGAAAUGCGUAGAGAUCGGAAGGAACAUCUGUGGCGAAGGCGACUAUCUGGGCCAACACUGACACUGAGGCACGAAAGCGUGGGGAGCAAACAGGAUUAGAUACCCCUGUAGUCCCUGUCUCUUAUAC
RNAcentral lists this ribosomal RNA (301 nucleotides) under uncultured bacterium. Its description in RNAcentral is "partial 16S ribosomal RNA". It matches the Rfam family "Bacterial small subunit ribosomal RNA", at positions 509 to 807 of the family's 1533-position model. The record is from RNAcentral.